GCGUUGUUCGGAUUCACUGGGCGUAAAGGGUGCGUAGGUGGCUUGGUAAGUUCGAUGUGAAAUCUCCGGGCUUAACCCGGAAAUGGCAUUGAAUACUAUUGAGCUGGAGGUUUGGAGGGGGGACUGGAAUUCUCGGUGUAGCAGUGAAAUGCGUAGAUAUCGAGAGGAACACCAGUGGCGAAGGCGAGUCCCUGGACAACACCUGACACUGAGGCACGAAAGCUAG
Molecule: ribosomal RNA, 226 nt
Filed under: uncultured bacterium
Lineage: Bacteria
Description: partial 16S ribosomal RNA
Rfam family: Bacterial small subunit ribosomal RNA
Source: RNAcentral